GGAUGAACGCUCGGCGGCGUGCCUAACACAUAGCAAGUCGAGCGAAGCGACUUUACUUUGUAUUCUUUCGGGUAGGAAAAGUAGGAUUUUGACUGAGCGGCGGACGGGUGGGUAACGGCGUGGGUAACCUGCCUCAUACAGGGGAGUAACAGUUAGAAAUGACUGCUAAUACCGCAUAAGACCACAGCACUGCAUGGUGCAGUGGUAAAAACUCCGGUGGUAUGAGAUGGACCCGCGUCUGAUUAGUUAGUUGGCGGGGUAACGGCCCACCAAGGCGACGAUCAGUAGCCGGCCUGAGAGGGUGAACGGCCACAUUGGGACUGAGACACGGCCCAAACUCCUACGGGAGGCAGCAGUGGGGGAUAUUGCACAAUGGGGGGAACCCUGAUGCAGCGACGCCGCGUGAGCGAUGGAGUAUUUCGGUAUGUAAAGCUCUAUCAGCAGGGAAGAAAAUGACGGUACCUGACUAAGAAGCCCCGGCUAACUACGUG
This 491-nucleotide ribosomal RNA is filed under the name uncultured Lachnospiraceae bacterium. Its description in RNAcentral is "bacterial SSU rRNA". It matches the Rfam family "Bacterial small subunit ribosomal RNA", at positions 27 to 507 of the family's 1533-position model. The record is from RNAcentral. Lineage: Bacteria; Bacillati; Bacillota; Clostridia; Lachnospirales; Lachnospiraceae.